Molecule: transfer RNA, 73 nt
Filed under: Lecanora saxigena
Lineage: Eukaryota; Fungi; Ascomycota; Lecanoromycetes; Lecanorales; Lecanoraceae
Description: tRNA-Met
Rfam family: tRNA
About the family: Transfer RNA (tRNA) molecules are approximately 80 nucleotides in length.
Source: RNAcentral
AGGGCUAUAGCUUAAUUGGUAAAGCCAACUGCUCAUAAUAGUUUAGAUGAGUGUUCAAAUCAUUCUGGCCUUA